RNAcentral lists this ribosomal RNA (393 nucleotides) under Agrobacterium sp. AC57. Its description in RNAcentral is "bacterial SSU rRNA". It matches the Rfam family "Bacterial small subunit ribosomal RNA", at positions 971 to 1361 of the family's 1533-position model. Lineage: Bacteria; Pseudomonadati; Pseudomonadota; Alphaproteobacteria; Hyphomicrobiales; Rhizobiaceae. The record is from RNAcentral.
UUACCAGCUCUUGACAUUCGGGGUAUGGGCAUUGGAGACGAUGUCCUUCAGUUAGGCUGGCCCCAGAACAGGUGCUGCAUGGCUGUCGUCAGCUCGUGUCGUGAGAUGUUGGGUUAAGUCCCGCAACGAGCGCAACCCUCGCCCUUAGUUGCCAGCAUUUAGUUGGGCACUCUAAGGGGACUGCCGGUGAUAAGCCGAGAGGAAGGUGGGGAUGACGUCAAGUCCUCAUGGCCCUUACGGGCUGGGCUACACACGUGCUACAAUGGUGGUGACAGUGGGCAGCGAGACAGCGAUGUCGAGCUAAUCUCCAAAAGCCAUCUCAGUUCGGAUUGCACUCUGCAACUCGAGUGCAUGAAGUUGGAAUCGCUAGUAAUCGCAGAUCAGCAUGCUGCG